Molecule: transfer RNA, 73 nt
Filed under: cyanobiont of Ornithocercus magnificus
Lineage: Bacteria; Bacillati; Cyanobacteriota; Cyanophyceae; Synechococcales
Description: tRNA-Asn
Rfam family: tRNA
About the family: Transfer RNA (tRNA) molecules are approximately 80 nucleotides in length. Their secondary structure includes four short double-helical elements and three loops (D, anti-codon, and T loops). Further hydrogen bonds mediate the characteristic L-shaped molecular structure. tRNAs have two regions of fundamental functional importance: the anti-codon, which is responsible for specific mRNA codon recognition, and the 3' end, to which the tRNAs corresponding amino acid is attached (by aminoacyl-tRNA synthetases). tRNAs cope with the degeneracy of the genetic code in two manners: having more than one tRNA (with a specific anti-codon) for a particular amino acid; and 'wobble' base-pairing, i.e. permitting non-standard base-pairing at the 3rd anti-codon position.
Source: RNAcentral
UCCUCGGUAGCUCAGCGGUAGAGCGGUCGACUGUUAAUCGAUUGGUCGCAGGUUCGAAUCCCGCCCGAGGAGC